This 652-nucleotide long non-coding RNA is filed under the name Salmo salar (Atlantic salmon). RNAcentral describes it as "lncRNA (ENSSSAG00000115062.1)". The record is from RNAcentral. Lineage: Eukaryota; Metazoa; Chordata; Actinopteri; Salmoniformes; Salmonidae.
GGGGAGGCAGGUAGCCUAGUGGUUAGAGGGGAGGCAGGUAGCCUAGUGGUUAGAGGGGAGGCAGGUAGCCUAGUGGUUAGAGGGGAGGCAGGUAGCCUAGUGGUUAGAGGGGAGGCAGGUAGCCUAGUGGUUAGAGGGGAGACAGGUAGCCUGGUGGUUAGAGGAGAGGCAGGUAGCCUAGUGGUUAGAGGAGGCAGGUAGCCUAGUGGUUAGAGGGGAGGCAGCUAGCCUAGUGGUUAGAGGGGAGGCAGCUAGCCUAGUGGUUAGAGGGGAGGCAGGUAGCCUAGUGGUUAGAGGAGGCAGGUAGCCUAGUGGUUAGAGGAGGCAGGUAGCCUAGUGGUUAGAGGAGGCAGGUAGCCUAGUGGUUAGAGGGGCGGCAGGUAGCCUAGUGGUUAGAGGGGAGGCAGGUAGCCUAGUGGUUAGAGGAGGCAGGUAGCCUAGUGGUUAGAGGAGGCAGGUAGCCUAGUGGUUAGAGGGGCGGCAGGUAGCCUAGUGGUUAGAGGAGGCAGGUAGCCUAGUUGUUAGAGGAGGCAGGUAGCCUAGUGGUUAGAGGAGGCAGGUAGCCUAGUUGUUAGAGGAGGCAGGUAGCCUAGUGGUUAGAGGAGGCAGGUAGCCUAGUGGUUAGAGGGGGUAGGUAGCCUAGUGGUUAGAG